Molecule: unclassified non-coding RNA, 282 nt
Filed under: plant metagenome
Description: partial contains small subunit ribosomal RNA, internal transcribed spacer 1, and 5.8S ribosomal RNA
Rfam family: 5.8S ribosomal RNA (bases 235-282)
Source: RNAcentral
UUUCCGUAGGUGAACCUGCGGAAGGAUCAUUAUUGUAUAACCGAGGUGCGAGGGCUGUCGCUGACCCGAAAGGUCGUGCACGCCCGAGUGCCCUCACACACAUCCAUCUCACCCCUAUGUGCACCACCGCGUGGGUCCCCCUUUGGCUUGUUCGGAGGGGGGCUUACGUUUUCACACAAACUUUGUAUGUAGUGUAGAAUGUAUUUUUUGUUUUUGCGAUCACGCAAUCAAUACAACUUUCAACAACGGAUCUCUUGGCUCUCGCAUCGAUGAAGAACGCGC